CAGCCGCCGCGGUAAUACAGAGGGUGCGAGCGUUAAUCGGAUUUACUGGGCGUAAAGCGUGCGUAGGCGGCUUCUUAAGUCGGAUGUGAAAUCCCUGAGCUUAACUUAGGAAUUGCAUUCGAUACUGGGAAGCUAGAGUAUGGGAGAGGAUGGUAGAAUUCCAGGUGUAGCGGUGAAAUGCGUAGAGAUCUGGAGGAAUACCGAUGGCGAAGGCAGCCAUCUGGCCUAAUACUGACGCUGAGGUACGAAAGCAUGGGGAGCAAACAGGAUUAGAUACCCCCGUAGUCCCUGUCUCUUAUAU
Molecule: ribosomal RNA, 301 nt
Filed under: uncultured bacterium
Lineage: Bacteria
Description: partial 16S ribosomal RNA
Rfam family: Bacterial small subunit ribosomal RNA
Source: RNAcentral